GGAAGAUAUCUAUUAAUAUAUAAAGUGAAAGUAUUGGGUCAGACCGUCUGACCCAAUAUUCUCGUCAGACGGGCUGAGCCCAGUUUUAUAAUAUACAGCAAAGGAGAAAAGAAAGAGGAAAAAGAAAAAGGAAAAGAACGUUCAAAAUAGAAAAAUCAAAAUAUCCAAAACUACAGACCCAUUUUCUCUCCUUCUUCUUCGCUGAAACUUCCCUUGCUUUGCUGAAACAAAAUUGUGAUGUUUUUGGAUUAUGAUGGCACUCUCUCUCCUAUUGUUGAUGACCCUGAUCGAGCUUUUAUGUCUGAUGCUAUGAGGAGGACAGUGAGAAAAUUAGCUAGAUAUUUUCCCACAGCAAUUAUGAGCGGAAGAUGUGGAGACAAAAUGUACAGUUUUGUUAAACUGGCAGAAGAGGAAUGAAGAAGAAGGAGAAAGUGAGAGAAAGCAGAGGUUAGUGUUUUUUGGUUUUCAGUUGGACUUUGUUUUGUUUCAGUUGGACUUUGUUUUUUUUCAGUUGGACUUUGUUUUCUUUCAGUUGGAGUUUGUUUUCUUUCAGUUGGACUUUGUUUUCUUUCAGUUGGACUUUGUGUUUCUUUCAGUUGGACUUUGUUUUGUUUCAGUUAGACUUUGUUUUUUUUUCAGUUGGACUACCUGAAAAAAAAAUGAAGACUACCUGAAAAAGAAUGAAGACUACCUGAAAAAAAAUGAAGACUACCUGAAAAAGAAUAAAGACCAACUGAAAUCCAAAGUAAAUCUAACUGAAGUACAAAAACCAACUGAAAAAAAAAAGACUAACUGAAAACAAAAUGAAGACUACCUGAAAAUAAAUGAAGACUACCUGAAAAAGAAUAAAGACCAACUGAAACCCAAAGUAAGUCUAACUGAAGUACAAAAACCAACUGAAAAAAAAGAAGACUAACUGAAAACAAAA
Molecule: long non-coding RNA, 928 nt
Organism: Beta vulgaris subsp. vulgaris (sugar beet)
Lineage: Eukaryota; Viridiplantae; Streptophyta; Magnoliopsida; Caryophyllales; Amaranthaceae
Exons: 2
Source: RefSeq, a predicted model, not a curated record